GAUGAGCUCAUCGAGAGACACACACACACACACACACACACGGACGGACGGAGCUGAAGACAGAAGGACACUGACUGAACACAAAAAUGGUUUGGUCCCGGGACACAGAGGCGGAGAAACCCCCGCUGUCCGUCAUCCUGCCUCAGCUUUACCUGGGAGCAGAGAGAGACGUGACGCAGGAGCGGCUGGCCUCUCUGGGUAUCUCGUGCGUGCUGAGCGUGAGCCGCUGCAGUCCCGAGCCUUCGUUCCUGCCUCGCUCCAGAUUUCUGCGCAUUCCAAUUGACGACUCUCUGUGUGACGAUCUGUUGCCAUGGAUACCACAGGCUCUGCACUUCAUCGACGCAGCCGUGUCGUCCGGAGCCUCAGUGCUGGUUCACUGUGCAGCAGGGAUCUCCCGCUCCCCUGCACUGGCUGUUGCCUACAUCAUGUACAGUCUGGACCUGGACCUGGACCAGGCCUACAGAUUUGUGAAAGAGCGUCGGCCCUCCAUUUCCCCAAACUUCAACUUCCUGGGUCAGCUGCAGCACUUCCAGGCCACGCUGUGCCACAGCGCCUCCAGUGGCCACUCCGUCCUCCAGCAGCCGGACACUUGUCUGUCUUCCUCCGCUGACAGCGACGACCACUGUGGUCAGAAGAUGAACCUUCAGGCUGAAUCUCUCACUGGAAACACAACACACACACACAGCUUUCACAGCAGAGACGACACACAACACACACACAGACACACACGCGCUGAUGGAAACCAGCACCUGUCAGUGUCAGGGAAACUUCAGACUCUUCAUCUGACUCUUCAUCAGCAGCAGGUUCAGACGCCGUACAAGGAUCAGGCUCCGAGUCCCUGUGAUCCUGUCAAACCUGCACCAAAGCCCACGCAACUACAACUCCCAUCAGGCUCUGCUUCUCUGGCAGAGAAACGCAAAAGCCUCACUCUGUCUUUGACUCCUUUGGUAAGCAGCAGCAGCAGCAGCAGCAGCAGCGAGGCAGGAGGGAAAACCCACCACCACGGGUGGAGUUCCUCCUACCGCAGGUGCAGCAGAGACGAGGAGCAGGCGCAGGAGCAGCGGGCGCUGUCGCCUUUCAGCUGUACCCUCAACAAGCUGCUGGACUGGGGGGAGAGAGUUCUGCUGGGAGGACUGUUCCUCCCUCCUGUGCGGAUGGGACAGGCCACCCUGCCGUACAGGUGCUGAGGCCGCUCCCCCGCCUGUACAGGUGCUGAGGCCGCUCCCCCGCUUGUUCAGGUGCUGAGGCCGCUCCCCCGCCUGUACAGGUGCUGAGGCCGCUCCCCCGCCUGUACAGGUGCUGAGGCCGCUCCCCCGCCUGUACAGGUGCUGAGGCCGCUCCCCCACCUGUACAGGUGCAACUGUCUCAUGAUUCUAAUCAUAGGGUUGGUUUGAUUAGUCUCAGCUGUAGAAUGUGCACAUCCUAUAUUAAAGAUACCAUGAGUCACAUUUAGGAGGGUUUAUUGGCAGACAUUGAACAUAUGUUUGUAUAAGUGUAACUUUAAGUAUAAUAAUCCUUUAAAGACGCUGGGCAGAAACCCUAACCCUGUAAAACACAUUGACAGCAGAAAUAAAUAUGUUCAGAGCAUUUAA
Solea senegalensis (Senegalese sole) is the source of this 1592-nucleotide RNA transcript. It is a transcript of the gene named tyrosine-protein phosphatase vhp-1, with no coding region annotated. Lineage: Eukaryota; Metazoa; Chordata; Actinopteri; Pleuronectiformes; Soleidae. The transcript has 6 exons. The record is from RefSeq and is a predicted model, not a curated record.